CUGGGAGGUGUGCAACGCGUCUGACCCCGGGCAAGAGGAACUCAGCCAAGUGCUCUGGCUGCACUUAAAAGGGUUCACCAGCCUCUCCCUGAAGAAGCUGCAAACCAGAGGCCCGUCUGGCUGGCGUGAAUGGAAGGACAAACGCUCCACCAAAUUGCUCUGGGAAUGUCAUUCUAAUUAUUGGAUCCUGACCCAGCGGCGUGCUGAUAAGCUCUGGGCUGGAGACGCCCUAUCUCCCAGGAGCUCAAAGCCUGCUCGAGGCUGCCUCUCUCCCACUCGUGGCAUCCCUGCCAAGCAAUUAGCCUCAGGGCUGCCUGAGAGCUGA
RNAcentral lists this long non-coding RNA (325 nucleotides) under Mustela putorius furo (domestic ferret). Its description in RNAcentral is "lncRNA (ENSMPUG00000030772.1)". The record is from RNAcentral. Lineage: Eukaryota; Metazoa; Chordata; Mammalia; Carnivora; Mustelidae.